GUUGUAUGGUUAAGUGACUAAGCGUACACGGUGGAUGCCUGGGCAGUCAGAGGCGAUGAAGGACGUACUAACUUGCGAUAAGCGCAGAUAAGGCAGUAAGAGCCGUUUGAGUCUGCGAUUUCCGAAUGGGGAAACCCAACUGCAUAAGCAGUUACUGUUAACUGAAUACAUAGGUUAACAGAGCAAACCGGGGGAACUGAAACAUCUAAGUACCCCGAGGAGAAGAAAUCAACCGAGAUUCCGGUAGUAGCGGCGAGCGAACCUGGAUUAGCCCUUAAGCACUCGGUGAAGUAGGUGAACAAGCUGGAAAGCUUGGCGAUACAGGGUGAUAGCCCCGUAACCGACGCUUCAUCGAGCGUGAAAUCGAGUAGGGCGGGACACGUGAUAUCCUGUCUGAAUAUGGGGGGACCAUCCUCCAAGGCUAAAUACUCCUGACUGACCGAUAGUGAACCAGUACCGUGAGGGAAAGGCGAAAAGAACCCCUGUGAGGGGAGUGAAAUAGAACCUGAAACCGUGUACGUACAAGCAGUAGGAGCACCUUCGUGGUGUGACUGCGUACCUUUUGUAUAAUGGGUCAGCGACUUAUAUUCAGUGGCAAGGUUAACCGUAUAGGGGAGCCGUAGCGAAAGCGAGUCUUAACUGGGCGCUCAGUCUCUGGAUAUAGACCCGAAACCGGGUGAUCUAGCCAUGGGCAGGUUGAAGGUUGAGUAACAUCAACUGGAGGACCGAACCGACUAAUGUUGAAAAAUUAGCGGAUGACUUGUGGCUAGGGGUGAAAGGCCAAUCAAACUCGGAGAUAGCUGGUUCUCCCCGAAAGCUAUUUAGGUAGCGCCUCGGACGAAUACUACUGGGGGUAGAGCACUGUUAAGGCUAGGGGGUCAUCCCGACUUACCAACCCUUUGCAAACUCCGAAUACCAGUAAGUACUAUCCGGGAGACACACGGCGGGUGCUAACGUCCGUCGUGGAGAGGGAAACAACCCAGACCGCCAGCUAAGGUCCCAAAGUAUUGCUAAGUGGGAAACGAUGUGGGAAGGCUCAGACAGCUAGGAUGUUGGCUUAGAAGCAGCCAUCAUUUAAAGAAAGCGUAAUAGCUCACUAGUCGAGUCGGCCUGCGCGGAAGAUGUAACGGGGCUAAGCAAUACACCGAAGCUGCGGCAAUGUCUUUUAGACAUUGGGUAGGGGAGCGUUCUGUAAGCCGUUGAAGGUGAAUCGUAAGG
Molecule: ribosomal RNA, 1218 nt
Filed under: Vibrio cholerae
Lineage: Bacteria; Pseudomonadati; Pseudomonadota; Gammaproteobacteria; Vibrionales; Vibrionaceae
Description: partial 23S ribosomal RNA
Rfam family: Bacterial large subunit ribosomal RNA
Source: RNAcentral